This 23-nucleotide ribosomal RNA is filed under the name Pseudevernia aff. intensa MAF-Lich 15626. Its description in RNAcentral is "partial 18S ribosomal RNA". Lineage: Eukaryota; Fungi; Ascomycota; Lecanoromycetes; Lecanorales; Parmeliaceae. The record is from RNAcentral.
UUGAACCUGNCGGAAGGAUCAUU